UGUGUUUUUUUUUGCAUGACAAUCCUAUACAAUAUUUUUUUUUUAAAUUUAAAAAUAUAAUCAAGAAUAAUAAUAUAAAGCUCAAAUUUGCAAAUUAUGAAACUGGCAAUGAGGGCGUUUGCUGCUUUUUUCCUUGUGUUUUUACUUAUCUUGACGACAGUAGAGGUAAGCACAAAAGUAGUAGAAGCAAGGGUGUGCGGUACUCCAAGUCACAGGUUCAAAGGAAUAUGUGUUAGCAGCAGAAAUUGUGAAACUGUUUGCAAUGCUGAGAGAUUUCCUGGAGGAAGUUGCCAAGGAUUUCGCCGCAGAUGCAUUUGCAACAAACCCUGCGCUUAGGCUUAGCCGACAAUGGUGCCCAUCCCGUUCCUCAUCAACAAUAACCAACUUGAUGCAGUAUAUACACUAUAUGUCUCUAUAUAUCAUCUUAUACAACCGCGUGUGUACUAGUACUACGCUUCUUAUUAAUUGUGGUAACUUUGUGAUACGCAAAGUAGCGUAAUCGUAACAAACAAGUACGAAGUACUACAUACUAAAUGCGUAUGGUAGUACUAGUAUGUAAAGUGGAAAAGUAGUAGAGUAUUGAAUUUGUGAUCGAAUUCAUGUAGUAUGUAGUAUAUAGUAUGUGUAACGGUUGAUAAUGUAGUGUUUUGCACAAUUUGAGAUUUAUUUUUUCUUUUUAGAAAGGAAAAGUAGAGGUUGCAUAGAGAUGACGUAUUAGUGGAGCAAAUGAGAAAUAAUUCAAUUCCUAGUUGCAAAA
Molecule: long non-coding RNA, 757 nt
Organism: Chenopodium quinoa (quinoa)
Lineage: Eukaryota; Viridiplantae; Streptophyta; Magnoliopsida; Caryophyllales; Amaranthaceae
Exons: 2
Source: RefSeq, a predicted model, not a curated record